RNAcentral lists this long non-coding RNA (376 nucleotides) under Ananas comosus (pineapple). RNAcentral describes it as "long non-coding RNA (ACOM_LNC003975)". Lineage: Eukaryota; Viridiplantae; Streptophyta; Magnoliopsida; Poales; Bromeliaceae. The record is from RNAcentral.
AACUAAAAGGCCAAAAAUUAGAGAAUAAUAAAAAAAAUCAGAGAAAGAAAAAGAAAAUGAAAUUGCGCAGCUAAAAUUAAAUUGCACUAUUUUAAAAAAACGUUUUACUAUUAUGGACGUAAGUUGCAUUCUUUGAAAUGUAAACUGCACCAUUUAAGAUAAAAGUUACACUCUUUAAACGAAAGUUGCUGAAUACGAGAUGAAUUUUUCUGCUCGGUAUUUUAACGAGCUAGCUCGUGUUCAGCUUGUUGACACCCCUACUUGAGAAACAUGUUAUUAUAGAGAAUAUAAUAAACUGUUUUGGACGGAAAAAUUAGAAUAGUGCGAAUAAAGAUGAAUUAUAAUAGAAAAUAUAGAUACAAGCUAUUAAUUAAUU